Molecule: unclassified non-coding RNA, 26 nt
Filed under: Mus musculus (house mouse)
Lineage: Eukaryota; Metazoa; Chordata; Mammalia; Rodentia; Muridae
Description: oocyte_clustered_small_RNA10961
Source: RNAcentral
UGUAUAUUUAGCCAUUGGCUGGGGAU